GUCGGAUUAGCUAGUUGGUGGGGUAAAGGCUCACCAAGGCGACGAUCCGUAGCGGGUCUGAGAGGAUGAUCCGCCACACUGGGACUGAGACACGGCCCAGACUCCUACGGGAGGCAGCAGUGGGGAAUUUUGGACAAUGGGCGCAAGCCUGAUCCAGCCAUGCCGCGUGAGUGAAGAAGGCCUUCGGGUUGUAAAGCUCUUUCGGCCGGGAAGAAAUCGCACUCUCUAACAUAGGGUGUGGAUGACGGUACCGGACUAAGAAGCACCGGCUAACUACGUGCCAGCAGCCGCGGUAAUACGUAGGGUGCGAGCGUUAAUCGGAAUUACUGGGCGUAAAGCGUGCGCAGGCGGUUUUGUAAGACAGAUGUGAAAUCCCCGGGCUUAACCUGGGAACUGCGUUUGAAACUACAAAGCUAG
RNAcentral lists this ribosomal RNA (417 nucleotides) under uncultured Rhodocyclaceae bacterium. RNAcentral's name for it is "bacterial SSU rRNA". It matches the Rfam family "Bacterial small subunit ribosomal RNA", at positions 235 to 644 of the family's 1533-position model. Lineage: Bacteria; Pseudomonadati; Pseudomonadota; Betaproteobacteria; Rhodocyclales; Rhodocyclaceae. The record is from RNAcentral.